This 1969-nucleotide ribosomal RNA is filed under the name human gut metagenome. RNAcentral describes it as "bacterial LSU rRNA". It matches the Rfam family "Bacterial large subunit ribosomal RNA", at positions 1 to 1982 of the family's 2925-position model. The record is from RNAcentral.
GAAAGUAAUGAAGGGCGUACGGUGGAUGCCUAGGCUCUUACAGGCGAUGAAGGACGUGAUAAGCUGCGAAAAGCCGCGGUGAGGCGCAAAUGGCCCUUGACCCGCGGAUCUCCGAAUGGGACAACCCAAUAUCUUGAAGAGAUAUUAUCCCGCCGAUGCGGGAGGCGAACGCGGGGAACUGAAACAUCUUAGUACCCGCAGGAAAAGAAAAUAAAGAAUGAUUCCCCCAGUAGUGGCGAGCGACCGGGGAACAGCCCAAACCGACGUUGUCUCGGCAUCGUCGGGGUUGUAGGACCGCGCCAUCGCAAGAAAGGCCGUGAGUGGAAGCGACUGGAAAGCCGCGCCAUAGAGGGUGACAGCCCCUUACACGAAGCAGCCCGAAGCGUAGCGGACUCCUGAGUAGCGCGGGACACGAGUAAUCCUGUGUGAAUCCGCCGGGCCCAUCCGGCAAGGCUAAAUACUCGUAAGAGACCGAUAGUGAACCAGUACCGUGAGGGAAAGGUGAAAAGGACCCCUUGCAGGGGAGUGAAAUAGUUCCUGAAACCGUACGCCUACAAGCGGUCGGAGCAUCUUAAGUGAUGUGACGGCGUGCCUUUUGCAUAAUGAACCUACGAGUUGCCGUCACCAGCGAGGUUAAGUGCGAUGACGCACCGAGCCGCAGCGGAAGCGAGUCUUAAAAGGGCGCGAUAGUUGGUGGAGGCAGACGCGAAACCGAGUGAUCUACACUUGUCCAGGAUGAAGUCCCGGUAACACGGGAUGGAGGUCCGCACCAAUAAGCGUUGAAAAGCUUCUGGAUGAGGUGAGUGUAGGAGUGAAAGGCCAAUCAAACUCGGAGAUAGCUCGUACUCCCCGAAAGGCAUUUAGGUGCCGCCUCGGACGUUCCCGAUGUGAGGUAGAGCGACUGAUUGGAUGCGAGGGCUUCACCGCCUAUCAAGUCCUGAUAAACUCCGAAUGCGCAUCGGCCAAGUCCGGGAGUAAGGGCAUGGGUGCUAAGGUCCGUGCCCGAGAGGAGAAGAAUCCAGACCAUCGGCUAAGGUCCCGAAAUACUGGUUAAGUUAGACUAACGAAGUCCGGCCCCCAAGACAGCUAGGAUGUUGGCUUGGAAGCAGCCAUUCAUUCAAAGAGUGCGUAACAGCUCACUAGUCGAGGAGCUGGGCGUGGAUAAUAAUCGGGUAUAAAACCAGUUACCGAAGCCGUGGGAUGCAUAAGCAUCGGUAGGGGAGCAUUGCAUGCGGCUUAGAAGGCGGGGCGCGAGCCCCUCUGGAGCGCAUGGAAACGCAAAUGUAGGUAUAAGUAACGACAAGGGGGGUGGGAUGCCCCCCCGCCGAAAGACCAAGGUUUCCUGAACAACGCUAAUCGGUUCAGGGUCAGUCGGGUCCUAAGCAUAAGCCGUAUGGCGAUGGCGAUGGAUGAAACGGUUAAUAUUCCGUUACUGUCUUGGUGUGUGACGCGGCGACGGAGUAGUGACACGGCCGCCUCCUGACGGAAAAGGGGGUUGAAGCGCAAAGGUGUCGAGGAAGGCAGGCAAAUCCACCUUCCGAGCCGAAGCGCGAUAGUACGCUGCGCCCUUUGGGGCAAGGCGAUAGUGCCGGUAAUCAGACUUCCAAGAAAACCCGCUAAACUUCAGCAUCAAGUCACCCGUACUCCAAACGGACACACGUGGUCGGGUAGAAUAUACUAAGGCGCUUGGGAGAUUCACGGUUAAGGAACUAGGCAAAUUGACCCCGUACCUUCGGAAUAAGGGGUCCUCGCUUUUGCGAGGCGCAGAGAAUAGGUCCAGGCAACUGUUUAACAAAAACACAGGGCUGUGCCAAUUUGAAAGAAGAAGUAUACAGCCUGACACCUGCCCGGUGCCGGAAGGUUAAGAGGAGAGCUCAUCAGCGAUGAGAAGGCUUGAAUUGAAGCCCCGGUAAACGGCGGCCGUAACUAUAACGGUCCUAAGGUAGCGAAAUUCCUUGUCGGGUAAGUU